UAGGGCAAUCUUCGGCAAUGGGGGGAACCCUGACCGAGCAACGCCGCGUGAGUGAAGAAGGUUUUCGGAUCGUAAAGCUCUGUUGUUAAGGAAGAACGAGUGUGAGAAUGGAAAGUUCAUACUGUGACGGUACUUAACCAGAAGGGGACGGCUAACUACGUGCCAGCAGCCGCGGUAAUACGUAGGUCCCGAGCGUUGUCCGGAUUUAUUGGGCGUAAAGCGAGCGCAGGCGGUUAGAUAAGUCUGAAGUUAAAGGCAGUGGCUCAACCAUUGUAGGCUUUGGAAACUGUUUAACUUGAGUGCAGAAGGGGAGAGUGGAAUUCCAUGUGUAGCGGUGAAAUGCGUAGAUAUAUGGAGGAACACCGGUGGCGAAAGCGGCUCUCUGGUCUGUAACUGACGCUGAGGCUCGAAAGCGUGGGGAGCGAACAGGAUUAGAUACCCUGGUAGUCCACGCCGUAAACGAUGAGUGCUAGGUGUUAGGUCCUUUCCGGGACUUAGUGCCGCAGCUAACGCAUUAAGCACUCCGCCUGGGGAGUACGACCGCAAGGUUG
Molecule: ribosomal RNA, 551 nt
Filed under: uncultured bacterium
Lineage: Bacteria
Description: bacterial SSU rRNA
Rfam family: Bacterial small subunit ribosomal RNA
Source: RNAcentral